Molecule: ribosomal RNA, 428 nt
Filed under: Didymium floccosum
Lineage: Eukaryota; Evosea; Eumycetozoa; Physariida; Didymiaceae
Description: partial small subunit ribosomal RNA
Rfam family: Bacterial small subunit ribosomal RNA
Source: RNAcentral
GCGUAGGGUACGUAGGCGGAUAGUCAAAUUUUUAGUAAAAGACUGAGGAUGGACCUCUUUAAGCUAAAUUCACUAACUAUUUGAGUUCUAAAGGCGAUUUAUUGAAUUCCUUAAGUAAGGGUAAAAUUGUUGAUAUUGGAAGACAUUCGAAGGCGGAAGCGGUAAUCGAUUUAGAUCUGACGCUAGGUACUAAAGCAUGGGUAUAAAGAGGAUUAGAGACCUUGUAGUCCAUGCCUUAAACAAUGAGUGUUCAACGUCCUUUCUUGGUUUGUAUUUGUCAUAAAAAAGUUAUCGCCGGAAGGGCGAAAAUUCCCUUUUAUAAACAACGAACUACAUUUAAGGGGGUUUGAAGCUAACGCGUGAAACACCGCCUGGGGAAUGUGGCCGCAAGGUUAAACUCAAAGGAAUUGACGGAGACUUGUACAAGG